CCUACGGGUGGCAGCAGUGGGGAAUAUUGCACAAUGGAGGGAACCCUGAUGCAGCGACGCCGCGUGAGUGAAGAAGGAUUUCGGUACGUAAAGCUCUAUUAGCAGGGAAGAAAAGAACGGCACCUGACUAAAAAGCCGCCGCUAACUACGUGCCAGCAGCCGCGGUAAUACGUAGGGGGCAAGCGUUAUCCGGAUUUACUGGGGGUAAACGGAGCGUAGACGGCAAUGCAAGUCCGGAGUGAAAGCCCAAGGCUUAACCAUGGGACUGCUCUGGAAACUGUGGAGCUUGAGUGCGGGAGGGGCAGGCGGAAUGCCUAGUGUAGCGGUGGAAUGCGUAGAUAUUAGGAGGAACACCGGAGGCGAAGGCGGCCUGCUGGACCGUAACUGACGUUGAGGCUCGAAAGCGUGGGGAGCAAACAGGAUUAGAUACCCCUGUAGUC
This 440-nucleotide ribosomal RNA is filed under the name uncultured bacterium. RNAcentral's name for it is "partial 16S ribosomal RNA". It matches the Rfam family "Bacterial small subunit ribosomal RNA", at positions 338 to 795 of the family's 1533-position model. The record is from RNAcentral.